CCAAGUUCUCUCUGAAAGUCCGUGUAUAGUACAUAUGUUGAAAUUUUACAUCCACAUAGCCUGAGUAUAUUUUGCACUGUACUUGCUUAGUUGUGGCAGAGAGAGGCAGAGAUCUUGCGGCAACAAUUACAGGACCUGCAAGAAAAUCAUCGGUAAUGUUAACUACUCUUGGCAAGAUUUACACCCUUUUACUUCACAAUAGUGGCACAUUACUGCAUCAAAAUGGCUAAUCGUACAUCAAGAUUCAAGAGAACUCCCUAUUAUUGUUGGUUUGUUGAACAAAAAUACGUAACAUAUAGUAAAGACAAACCGAAAAAGAAUCUAACACAUACGUUACUAAAUUUUCAUGAAUUUAUCGACUCAUGGAAUUGGAUGUAAAUGCAUCGUUUUGACAAAUUACAUUGUAUCUGGAAGUCUUAAACUAGUACCUUUACUGACUGGUAUUAUUCAAUAGGCAAUUUUUCUCACCAUCUGAUAGAACAGGCAAUUAAUGGGAGAGGAGCUACGUGGCUUGGGUGUAAAAGAACUAACAAAUUUGGAGAAUAAACUGGAAAUGAGCUUAAGGGGCAUCCGUACUAAAAAGGUCAGCAAUCAACCUGAUACUGUCGACUAAUUUGAAAAAUACUUGAAUCUAAACAUUUUCGGACUUUAUAGGAGCAAAUAUUAAAGGAUGAAAUUCAGGAGCUAACUCGAAAGGUACGUGCAAAAGUGUAGCAGCUUUCAUCAUGUGAUCAGAUUAGUUCAAAAAAUUGAAUCUUGAGUACAUUUCUAUUGAAUGUAUACAGGGGAGCAUGAUACAUCAAGAAAAUUUGGAACUCUACAAGAAGGUAAAUCUCAUUCGACAAGAAAAUGCAGAAUUGUAUGAGAAGGUAGCACUUGAUUUUAGCUAAGAGUUCCCUUGCAUAAUUGCAAAGUCAAAGCUAAUAGUGCAAAAAUAUAACCAUAUUCUUUCAGGCUUAUGGUACAAGGGAUGCUACUGCAAUUAAUGGAACCACCAACUAUCCAUAUCGCUUCACGGUGAGCAGAGAAGUUCAUGCCCCCAUCCAUCUGCAGCUAAGCCAGCCCGACCCACAGAACUUUGAAAGGCCAGCAAGAGUAUCUAAUUAGAGGUAAAUCUCUCCCCGUCCAUUAAAUAUGAUCAUCAAACUUCUGUAAACUAUUAUUUGCGUGUUAUUACCAGUAAAAUCGCGCUGAUACAUCAGUGUAGAUAACUUAAAUCCUUGAAUUGAUGAUAAAAAGCAGUAUCUUAGCAUGGUUACAACACAUUGAGUCUCUCAAAAGAACUCCUGAUUGACUAGCUAGUUGAACAUCAUAGGAAAUAUUUUUUACCUUUUUACAGGUAAAAGUCAAUGGUGGCAGAAAAAUCAAUGAAUUAACAACCUCAACUGCAGAGCGGCAGAAGAGGAAAGACAAAGAAGGAUGGUGUAUUAUCUAAAUUCAUAAUUAAUGGUAGCAUACAUUGUCUGUGCUGCCAAUUGUGUAAUUCAAACAGUUGAUAAUGCACGUAAAGAGAGCACAGGCAUCAAUUAGUACUCCAAUGUAUAUUAAAGAGAUAAGCAUUCAGUACCGCUGACCUAUGGCCAAAGUUGCUACGACACACUCUAAUUUUAUGGGUCCUAUUACCUCUGAACUCAAUUUUAGCAUAUUUUUGUCACCCUUUUGUGCUGAUGUGCCAACUUGCGUGAAGUUUAACACCUGAGGCGCGUGAAGGACUGUCAUCUGUCAUGUCAGCUAAAAAGAUUGCUAAAAAUAUGCUAAAAUUUAGUUCGGAGAUAAUAGGACCCCCGUUGGAAUGUAUUGUAGUAAAUUUAAUCAUAGUUAUAACGUACUAAAUGCUUAUCUCUAAAUUAGAAGGUUACUUGUUGAUCGAAUGUGUUUUUGAGCCGAGACUUUGGACUUGACAACUUAUGAGAGCUUAUUGUAUCACAUUACAUCACUUUUGCAAAGUUCUGCGUAUGUAACUGGACAUCGUGUACAUUGUGACAACACUUAUGUAGGUUAAUCAAUUUUAUUUGUUGUGAUCAUAAACGCUAGCUACUACAAGCUGAAUUUCUUAUUCUCACCAUGCAACUAGGAAGAAAAAGAUAUAGAAACACACUUAAUUAUAAAAACAACUUGCGCCUUCAAGAAUUUUUUGUUGAAUUGAGUUCAGUGUAGAAAGUUAAAGCAAGGGUUCAAAUGGCCCUUAAUAUAUUGUAACUGAUAUUAUUUUUUUUAAUAUAUUAAGUGCAAAAGAGAUUUGACUAGAAAGUAUUCUUGUUGAAACGAUAAUCUUCAAUUCGUCAACAAUUGUGAGAGAAAGGUCAAAAAGGAUGGAGAGUGAUCAAAUCCUACAUCUAAUUCUUUUUUAGGAAUUCUCAAAAAUGACUAUAUUUUAGUCUUUGUUAGAAACCAUAGCUAUAGUUUUGAGUAUUUUCUAUUCAUGUCAACAGUUUGAGAUGCUAGGGGGAAAAGGCAGAUUUAAUUUGGGAGAGAUACAUUGAGAAAUAAAUUAUACUAAGGAUAGAAUAGGUAUAAAAUGCUACUCCCUCCGUCCCAAAUUUCCUAAUUUGAUGUCUCAUUUUACUUGUCAUUUUUUACUUAUCAUUUUUUUACUUAUCAAGACAAGACAAAAAAAAAUCUCAUUAUACCCUUAGUGUAAUUGAUUACUCCUUGUUAUUAGUCAUCCAUCAAUGUUGAAACCAAUAACAAGACACAAUUAAGAGGAGCAAAAUGGUAAAGUUAUAUUACCAAUCAUUGUUUUCUUAAUAGUUGUGUCAUCCCAAUUUGGGACUCGUAAAAUAGGACGGAGGGAGUAGUAAACUCUCCCUUUGAUUUUCUAAACUAAAUAAAUAAAAAUAAAUAUCUAUUUUAGCAAACAAAGCAAAAACAUGAAAAAGAAAGAGAGGGAGGGAGAGAGGGGAAGAAGUUAGGAACACACACUGGCCGGAAUGAAAGUUUUACACCCCUCUUACUUUCAUUUUCAAGCAAGAAAACCAAAAAUACUAAUAAUAAUAAAUUCAUUAUUAAGAACACAUGCAAAUCAAAGUUAAUUAGCUCAAUAUAAUGCUCGAUCUAGGAUGAUAAUAAAACCUAAAUAUCUACUUAUGUACACUGAUUCUUAAAGUCUCUGAAAGUACUCUUAUAUUUGACGGCGAGGAUAGUACUCAUCUUCACGUCCACCUUCAUCGAAAUUCUGCGCAUAACUAUAAGCAUCAUACUGAAACUUCAAUGUCUUCUGCUUGUUCCCAUACACAUUCUUCCCUUCAUUCACCAACUUCUUCAACAAUUUCCUCCAUAAUUUUGCGCGAUACCAGCUACUUCCUCCACGUGUCAACGUAUUUAUUCGCGAGUAUUGUUCGUGCACUGGAAUACAAGACGGUGACAUACAACCGUACAAGCCAUGAGGCAUCGGUCGAGGUGGCCGGUAAUCGGAAUCAGCUCCCAUAUCAUAUGGAUGCUGCUGCAAAACUAAUGUAGGAGUAAGUAUUUUGCAAAGAGAUUGAACUGAGAUUUCGCCAAGUUUGUUGGUGAAUAUCACUAUGUGACUAUCUCCAAUAAUUUCGAUACAAAUGCGUAACAGGUAGUUGGAA
RNAcentral lists this long non-coding RNA (3572 nucleotides) under Capsicum annuum. RNAcentral describes it as "long non-coding RNA (CANN_LNC003694)". The record is from RNAcentral. Lineage: Eukaryota; Viridiplantae; Streptophyta; Magnoliopsida; Solanales; Solanaceae.